GCGUGGGUAGCUCAGCGGUAGAGCGGCUGAUUUACACUCAGUUGGUCGGCGGUUCGAUCCCGUCCCUGCGCACCA
RNAcentral lists this transfer RNA (75 nucleotides) under Verrucomicrobiales bacterium. Its description in RNAcentral is "tRNA-Val". It matches the Rfam family "tRNA". From Rfam's summary of the family: Transfer RNA (tRNA) molecules are approximately 80 nucleotides in length. Their secondary structure includes four short double-helical elements and three loops (D, anti-codon, and T loops). Further hydrogen bonds mediate the characteristic L-shaped molecular structure. tRNAs have two regions of fundamental functional importance: the anti-codon, which is responsible for specific mRNA codon recognition, and the 3' end, to which the tRNAs corresponding amino acid is attached (by aminoacyl-tRNA synthetases). tRNAs cope with the degeneracy of the genetic code in two manners: having more than one tRNA (with a specific anti-codon) for a particular amino acid; and 'wobble' base-pairing, i.e. permitting non-standard base-pairing at the 3rd anti-codon position. The record is from RNAcentral. RNAcentral also lists the same sequence under 2 other names. Lineage: Bacteria; Pseudomonadati; Verrucomicrobiota; Verrucomicrobiia; Verrucomicrobiales.